UAUCUGAACCUUCGGGGGACGAUAACGGCGUCGAGCGGCGGACGGGUGAGUAAUGCCUAGGAAAUUGCCCUGAUGUGGGGGAUAACCAUUGGAAACGAUGGCUAAUACCGCAUAAUACCUUCGGGUCAAAGAGGGGGACCUUCGGGCCUCUCGCGUCAGGAUAUGCCUAGGUGGGAUUAGCUAGUUGGUGAGGUAAUGGCUCACCAAGGCGACGAUCCCUAGCUGGUCUGAGAGGAUGAUCAGCCACACUGGAACUGAGACACGGUCCAGACUCCUACGGGAGGCAGCAGUGGGGAAUAUUGCACAAUGGGCGCAAGCCUGAUGCAGCCAUGCCGCGUGUGUGAAGAAGGCCUUCGGGUUGUAAAGCACUUUCAGUCGUGAGGAAGGUAGUGUAGUUAAUAGCUGCAUUAUUUGACGUUAGCGACAGAAGAAGCACCGGCUAACUCCGUGCCAGCAGCCGCGGUAAUACGGAGGGUGCGAGCGUUAAUCGGAAUUACUGGGCGUAAAGCGCAUGCAGGUGGUUUGUUAAGUCAGAUGUGAAAGCCCGGGGCUCAACCUCGGAAUAGCAUUUGAAACUGGCAGACUAGAGUACUGUAGAGGGGGGUAGAAUUUCAGGUGUAGCGGUGAAAUGCGUAGAGAUCUGAAGGAAUACCGGUGGCGAAGGCGGCCCCCUGGACAGAUACUGACACUCAGAUGCGAAAGCGUGGGGAGCAAACAGGAUUAGAUACCCUGGUAGUCCACGCCGUAACGAUGUCUACUUUGGAGGUUGUGGCCUUGAGCCGUGGCUUUCGGAGCUAACGCGUUAAGUAGACCGCCUGGGGAGUACGGUCGCAAGAUUAAAACUCAAAUGAAUUGACGGGGGCCCGCACAAGCGGUGGAGCAUGGUGGUUUAAUUUCGAUGCAACGCGAAGAACCUUACCUACUCUUGACAUCCAGAGAACUUUCAGGAGAUGGAUUGUG
This 960-nucleotide ribosomal RNA is filed under the name Vibrio harveyi. Its description in RNAcentral is "bacterial SSU rRNA". It matches the Rfam family "Bacterial small subunit ribosomal RNA", at positions 64 to 1015 of the family's 1533-position model. The record is from RNAcentral. Lineage: Bacteria; Pseudomonadati; Pseudomonadota; Gammaproteobacteria; Vibrionales; Vibrionaceae.